GACGAACGCUGGCGGCGUGCUUAACACAUGCAAGUCGAACGGAAAGGCCCUGCUUUUGUGGGGUGCUCGAGGGGCGAACGGGUGAGUAACACGUGAGUAACCUGCCCUUGACUUGGGGAUAACUUCAGGAAACUGGGGCUAAUACCGGAUAGGAGCUCCUGCUGCAUGGUGGGGGUUGGAAAGUUUCGGCGGUUGGGGAUGGACUCGCGGCUUAUCAGCUUGUUGGUGGGGUAGUGGCUUACCAAGGCUUUGACGGGUAGCCGGCCUGAGGGGGUGACCGGCCACAUUGGGACUGAGAUACGGCCCAGACUCCUACGGGAGGCAGCAGUGGGGAAUAUUGCACAAUGGGCGGAAGCCUGAUGCAGCAACGCCGCGUGCGGGAUGACGGCCUUCGGGUUGUAAACCGCUUUCGCCUGUGACGAAGCGUGAGUGACGGUAAUGGGUAAAGAAGCACCGGCUAACUACGUG
Molecule: ribosomal RNA, 468 nt
Filed under: uncultured bacterium
Lineage: Bacteria
Description: partial 16S ribosomal RNA
Rfam family: Bacterial small subunit ribosomal RNA
Source: RNAcentral